RNAcentral lists this ribosomal RNA (1688 nucleotides) under Myxobolus neurophilus. RNAcentral describes it as "SSU rRNA". It matches the Rfam family "Eukaryotic small subunit ribosomal RNA", at positions 339 to 1737 of the family's 1831-position model. The record is from RNAcentral. Lineage: Eukaryota; Metazoa; Cnidaria; Myxozoa; Bivalvulida; Myxobolidae.
AACUAGCAUGGGAUUACGGGUAACGGAGGAUCAGGGUUCGAUCCCGGAGAGGGAGCCUUAGAAACGGCUACCACAUCCAAGGAAGGCAGCAGGCGCGCAAAUUACCCAAUCCAGACAGUGGGAGGUGGGUGACGAAGAGUACCGGAUGACUAAAAUUUAUUUUAGUCAGGUCUGGAAAUGAAAUCAAUUUAAGCAAUUGAGUUGAGUAACUACUGGAGGGCAAGUCUGGUGCCAGCAGCCGCGGUAAUUCCAGCUCCAGUAGCGUGUCUCAAAGUUGCUGCGCUUAAAACGCUCGUAGUUGGAUGAGAAACUACACACUGGAUAGUUAUUCACUAUGUUAUUUGCUACAUAUUGGAUGUUUCUGUGAUGCUUUCAGCGUCCAGAUAAUAUUGAUAUUAGUUUGACUAGUGGUGACAUAUAACUGGUGUGUAGUAAUUGCGUAUGAGAAUGAUCAUUGACCUUAAGUGUGUUGAAGAUCGUGUCUCAUGGGAUGUGCCUUGAGUAAAUCAGAGUGCUCAAAGCAGGCGUUAUGCCUGAAUGUUGAUAGCAUGGAACGAACAAUAGUGUAGAUGUGUAUUGAACAUGGUAGUAUACUAUUCACCUAAUAGUAUACUGCUUCAAUAUGCAACACCGACCGCCAAUUACGGAUGUUGGUUCCGUAUUGGGGUACUGAUUAAGAGGAGCGGUUGGGGGCAUUGGUAUUUGGCAGCGAGAGGUGAAAUUCUUGGACCUGCCAAGGACUAACAAAUGCGAAGGCAUUUGUCCAGACCGUAUCCAUUAAUCAAGAACGAUAGUGAGAGGUUCGAAGACGAUCAGAUACCGUCCUAGUUCUCACUGUAAACUAUGCCGACCCGGGAUUAGUCCUAUGCCUUAUUAUUACGGCUUGGGUUGGUCCCCCUGGGAAACCUAAAGUUUUUCGGUUGCGGGGGGAGUAUGGUCGCAAGGCUGAAACUUAAAGGAAUUGACGGAAGGGCACCACCAGGGGUGGAGCCUGCGGCUUAAUUUGACUCAACACGGGAAAACUUACCGGAUCAGGACAUCAAAAGGAUUGUCAGACCGAAGAUCUUACAUGAUCUGGUGAUUGGUGGUGCAUGGCCGUUCUUAGUUCGUGAAGUGAUUUGUCAGGUUUAUUCCGGUAACGGACGAGAUCACAAUCUCCAUUUGACGAGCUGGAGUAAAUUCAAAUCUUCUUUAUAGACUGUAACAGGUCUGUAUUGAUAUGAUUUGAAUUGUUGGUAAGGUGUGAAAGAGAUACUUUGAAGCAUUGGGUGUGUUUAUGACAUGCUUGGUGUGGAUGGGUGUUGAAGUUGCACUUUCCCUCCAGUCAAACAUUGCAUGGCUAGCUUUUAGUUGUGUGGUGUAUCAUGGAGAGACAACGGAACAUAUCCAAAAUCCGAGGAAGUGUGGCUAUAACAGGUCUGUGAUGCCCUUAGAUGUUCUGGGCAGCACGCGCGCUACAAUGGCGACGACAACGAGUGUCUGAAUCGAAAGAUUUGGGUAAUCUUGCAAUCGUCGCCGUGAUGGGGAUUGACGUUUGUAAUUACGUCAUGAAAGAGGAAUCCCUAGUACGUGCGAUUCAUUAAAUCGCGCGGAUUUAGUCCCUGCCCUUUGUACACACCGCCCGUCGCUACUACCGAGUGAAUGGUGUCAUAAUGCCUUGGGAGCGGACAUCGUUCGGAUCUUGUAUU